UGCAACCUACCCAUAUCAGGGGGAUAGCCCUAGGAAACUGGGAUUAACACCGCAUAAUAUAAAUCAUGGCAUCGUGAUUUAUUAAAAUAUUUAUAGGAUAUGGAUGGGCAUGCGUAGGAUUAGCUAGUUGGUAAGGUAACGGCUUACCAAGGCUAUGAUCCUUAGGGGCUCUGAGAGGAGUAUCC
RNAcentral lists this ribosomal RNA (185 nucleotides) under uncultured Bacteroidota bacterium. RNAcentral's name for it is "uncultured Bacteroidetes bacterium partial 16S ribosomal RNA". It matches the Rfam family "Bacterial small subunit ribosomal RNA", at positions 120 to 306 of the family's 1533-position model. Lineage: Bacteria; Pseudomonadati; Bacteroidota. The record is from RNAcentral.